RNAcentral lists this ribosomal RNA (252 nucleotides) under uncultured bacterium. RNAcentral describes it as "partial 16S ribosomal RNA". It matches the Rfam family "Bacterial small subunit ribosomal RNA", at positions 524 to 776 of the family's 1533-position model. The record is from RNAcentral.
UACGGAGGAUGCGAGCGUUAUCCGGAUUUAUUGGGUUUAAAGGGUGCGUAGGCGGGCUUUUAAGUCAGCGGUAAAAAUUCGGGGCUCAACCCCGUCCGGCCGUUGAAACUGGGGGUCUUGAGUGGGCGAGAAGAAGGCGGAAUGCGUGGUGUAGCGGUGAAAUGCAUAGAUAACACGCAGAACCCCGAUUGCGAAGGCAGCCUUCCGGCGCCCUACUGACACUGAGGCACGAAAGUGCGGGGAUCGAACAGG